CAGGAGAUGAAUUUAGAGAACAUUUAGUUGCAUUAAGCAAUGAUCUCCUGCCCCACCUAGAAACAUCAGAUCCUGCCAGAAGCACUGCCGUGACUGCAUUCUUCUCUGAGAUGCUGUCUGAUAACAACUUGUUAAGUAAAAAGAUGAAGAAAUGUGUAGUUCGUGCUCUGGCAGCAGUGAGUAACACCCGGAGCUCUGUUCAGCAUUGUUUGUCAAUAAUAGCCUUGGGGAAUGCUACACAAGGUGCUCCAAAAUAUGUGAAAAAGUACAAAAACAUCAUCUUGGAAAGCCUGAUCAAUGGACUUUAUGAUCCCCUAGAAGAGAACAUAGUUGAUGAGGCAUUAACAUCGCUCUCAAAGUUUGUAAAGCUGGUUAAAAU
Molecule: long non-coding RNA, 379 nt
Organism: Bombina bombina (fire-bellied toad)
Lineage: Eukaryota; Metazoa; Chordata; Amphibia; Anura; Bombinatoridae
Exons: 3
Source: RefSeq, a predicted model, not a curated record